RNAcentral lists this ribosomal RNA (2560 nucleotides) under Pseudomonas aeruginosa. RNAcentral describes it as "partial 23S ribosomal RNA". It matches the Rfam family "Bacterial large subunit ribosomal RNA", at positions 375 to 2925 of the family's 2925-position model. Lineage: Bacteria; Pseudomonadati; Pseudomonadota; Gammaproteobacteria; Pseudomonadales; Pseudomonadaceae. RNAcentral also lists the same sequence under 1 other name. The record is from RNAcentral.
GUACGCGAAAGGAUCUUUGAAGUGAAAUCGAGUAGGACGGAGCACGAGAAACUUUGUCUGAACAUGGGGGGACCAUCCUCCAAGGCUAAAUACUACUGACUGACCGAUAGUGAACCAGUACCGUGAGGGAAAGGCGAAAAGAACCCCGGAGAGGGGAGUGAAAUAGAACCUGAAACCGUAUGCGUACAAGCAGUGGGAGCCUACUUGUUAGGUGACUGCGUACCUUUUGUAUAAUGGGUCAGCGACUUAUAUUCAGUGGCGAGCUUAACCGAAUAGGGUAGGCGUAGCGAAAGCGAGUCUUAAUAGGGCGUUUAGUCGCUGGGUAUAGACCCGAAACCGGGCGAUCUAUCCAUGAGCAGGUUGAAGGUUAGGUAACACUGACUGGAGGACCGAACCCACUCCCGUUGAAAAGGUAGGGGAUGACUUGUGGAUCGGAGUGAAAGGCUAAUCAAGCUCGGAGAUAGCUGGUUCUCCUCGAAAGCUAUUUAGGUAGCGCCUCAUGUAUCACUCUGGGGGGUAGAGCACUGUUUCGGCUAGGGGGUCAUCCCGACUUACCAAACCGAUGCAAACUCCGAAUACCCAGAAGUGCCGAGCAUGGGAGACACACGGCGGGUGCUAACGUCCGUCGUGAAAAGGGAAACAACCCAGACCGCCAGCUAAGGUCCCAAAGUUGUGGUUAAGUGGUAAACGAUGUGGGAAGGCUUAGACAGCUAGGAGGUUGGCUUAGAAGCAGCCAUCCUUUAAAGAAAGCGUAAUAGCUCACUAGUCGAGUCGGCCUGCGCGGAAGAUGUAACGGGGCUCAAACCACACACCGAAGCUGCGGGUGUCACGUAAGUGACGCGGUAGAGGAGCGUUCUGUAAGCCUGUGAAGGUGAGUUGAGAAGCUUGCUGGAGGUAUCAGAAGUGCGAAUGCUGACAUGAGUAACGACAAUGGGUGUGAAAAACACCCACGCCGAAAGACCAAGGGUUCCUGCGCAACGUUAAUCGACGCAGGGUUAGUCGGUUCCUAAGGCGAGGCUGAAAAGCGUAGUCGAUGGGAAACAGGUUAAUAUUCCUGUACUUCUGGUUACUGCGAUGGAGGGACGGAGAAGGCUAGGCCAGCUUGGCGUUGGUUGUCCAAGUUUAAGGUGGUAGGCUGAAAUCUUAGGUAAAUCCGGGGUUUCAAGGCCGAGAGCUGAUGACGAGUCGUCUUUUAGAUGACGAAGUGGUUGAUGCCAUGCUUCCAAGAAAAGCUUCUAAGCUUCAGGUAACCAGGAACCGUACCCCAAACCGACACAGGUGGUCGGGUAGAGAAUACCAAGGCGCUUGAGAGAACUCGGGUGAAGGAACUAGGCAAAAUGGCACCGUAACUUCGGGAGAAGGUGCGCCGGCUAGGGUGAAGGAUUUACUCCGUAAGCUCUGGCUGGUCGAAGAUACCAGGCCGCUGCGACUGUUUAUUAAAAACACAGCACUCUGCAAACACGAAAGUGGACGUAUAGGGUGUGACGCCUGCCCGGUGCCGGAAGGUUAAUUGAUGGGGUUAGCGCAAGCGAAGCUCUUGAUCGAAGCCCCGGUAAACGGCGGCCGUAACUAUAACGGUCCUAAGGUAGCGAAAUUCCUUGUCGGGUAAGUUCCGACCUGCACGAAUGGCGUAACGAUGGCGGCGCUGUCUCCACCCGAGACUCAGUGAAAUUGAAAUCGCUGUGAAGAUGCAGUGUAUCCGCGGCUAGACGGAAAGACCCCGUGAACCUUUACUGUAGCUUUGCACUGGACUUUGAGCCUGCUUGUGUAGGAUAGGUGGGAGGCUUUGAAGCGUGGACGCCAGUUCGCGUGGAGCCAUCCUUGAAAUACCACCCUGGCAUGCUUGAGGUUCUAACUCUGGUCCGUGAUCCGGAUCGAGGACAGUGUAUGGUGGGCAGUUUGACUGGGGCGGUCUCCUCCUAAAGAGUAACGGAGGAGUACGAAGGUGCGCUCAGACCGGUCGGAAAUCGGUCGCAGAGUAUAAAGGCAAAAGCGCGCUUGACUGCGAGACAGACACGUCGAGCAGGUACGAAAGUAGGUCUUAGUGAUCCGGUGGUUCUGUAUGGAAGGGCCAUCGCUCAACGGAUAAAAGGUACUCCGGGGAUAACAGGCUGAUACCGCCCAAGAGUUCAUAUCGACGGCGGUGUUUGGCACCUCGAUGUCGGCUCAUCACAUCCUGGGGCUGAAGCCGGUCCCAAGGGUAUGGCUGUUCGCCAUUUAAAGUGGUACGCGAGCUGGGUUUAGAACGUCGUGAGACAGUUCGGUCCCUAUCUGCCGUGGACGUUUGAGAUUUGAGAGGGGCUGCUCCUAGUACGAGAGGACCGGAGUGGACGAACCUCUGGUGUUCCGGUUGUCACGCCAGUGGCAUUGCCGGGUAGCUAUGUUCGGAAAAGAUAACCGCUGAAAGCAUCUAAGCGGGAAACUUGCCUCAAGAUGAGAUCUCACUGGGAACUUGAUUCCCCUGAAGGGCCGUCGAAGACUACGACGUUGAUAGGCUGGGUGUGUAAGCGUUGUGAGGCGUUGAGCUAACCAGUACUAAUUGCCCGUGAGGCUUGACCAU